Plectropomus leopardus (leopard coralgrouper) is the source of this 1845-nucleotide non-coding RNA. NCBI's taxonomy places the organism in Eukaryota, Metazoa, Chordata, Actinopteri, Perciformes, Serranidae. The record is from RefSeq and is a predicted model, not a curated record.
UGGAACAUUUAAAGUAGAUUCACAUUUACAAUAAACAGCAUGCUUUGAUUAGGAUUUGACCAAUCUGGAUUUUUAGUAGCUCAAACUACUUUUUGACAUUUCUAGAUUUAAGCUGUUGAUAUUAUAGGAGCCAUUCAUAAUGUGAAUACAUGUAGGAUGUCACCUGUCCUUUAGGGGUCACUAUCAUGGAAUUGGGUGUGUUCAUUUCGGUAGGAACCAUCAUGCACCAAAGUGUUGUUGCUAGACGUCUAAGCACAUAUGGUUAUUGACCGCAAUACCCUGUCGUGUCAUGCUGAGUGUAAUGGUAAAAAGUUGUGCUUUGAUUAAUGUUUGUGGAUACAGAUGGUGAGUUCGUGCGUGCUGAGUGAAGACCACGGUGGUGACAACUAUAACAGCAUCAAGCACAAGAAGAUUGGAGUCUUGUUUUCACUAGACCAACAGCUGAUGGACGACUGGCAAGCGUGUCAAUUAAUAGCCGCUAUACAUUCACUCAGAAACUGUGCUAAGUUGCUUCAAGAGCUUCAUCGUCGCCCACGUGAACGGCGAAAGUUUUCCGCGUGAGCUACGCUGGAAUAGGAAGUAAAAGGAGUUUCCCGAUCGCAAACUCCAGCUUCUCCACGAGGACGCUGACACUUGCUGACUGAUUUUCAACGCCCCUCUUCCCACUCAUCAAGAUCAUCUACCCGGGUGGCAGCGACAAUACAAAGAAGUCCUGCCCCUGCAACGUUACGGCGCCCAGGGAGGUAAAUGUAAGCCUUCUCGAGCGUCGCAUCUUGUCUUCCUGAAAAGACUCUACCCUGCAAUUCUCCCCCCACCAGGAUUCUCUGGACUCUCACCCUCAGAUUUCAUUACCGGCCUUCCCGUUUCUAAAGUUUGUCGUCAGGUCUCCACCCCGAAACCAAUGGCCAGGCAGAAAGAACCAACCAGGACCUAGAAUCCACUGGACACUGUGUGGCCGCUGCAAAUCAUACCACCUGGAGCACACAACUGGCAUAGGUGUAGUACUUGCAUAACUCUUUAACCUUUUUCUGCCACUAAUUUGUCCCCAUUUGAAGCCUUUCUGUGCUAUCAGCCCCAACUUUUUUCUCAGCAGGAGAUGGAGCUGGCAAUACCCUCGGUUCAGCACCUCGUCCAAAGGUGCGAAAGGAUCUGGAGGAAAACCCAAGCAACCCUCCUUCGGACCUGUAAUAACAACUAAUGUUCGGCCAAUCUACACAGGAACCCAACCUCAGAGUAUGAACAAGGUGGAGUGCCAUCACUGGAUGUUCUGGAGGGCCUGGCUGCUGCAGGAUUGGCACCUCUGGGAUUGGAGGGACUUUUAAACAGAGGAUACCCACAGCUCUUCCCUUCCUGCCUCCUCCACUCCCAACAGAGCCAGUUCAGGGAUAGUGCGUUUUCUCUGCAGAUUUGUGAUUUGUAAUCGAUCAGUGCCUUUUGACCUUGUUUUGUAUUUAACUUUGACUUUGAGUUCGUAACUUGUGUAAAUAUUCUUUUUGGUUUAAUGAUGACCCUGUAUAUAUUUUGAGCACUUUAUUUGAGCAGUAUUAGGAGUGAGUAGCCAUUUCUCUUUUACUGAAUGUUUUCCAGUCAGGAGUGUAUAUAAGAGACCUGUAUCUUAAUUAACUUUUUGUUUUCUGUUCGGUAGGUUUAGGGAUUGAGUUGUAUUUUUGUGUUUUUGUAUUUUUGGCUAACUCACAUCCGAGUAAAUGAACUGCUCUUUUUUGCUUUUGAUAAUUGUAAGCUGGUUGUUCUUGAGAAUGGGAAACCACCUUCAUGUUGUGUCCAGGUUCCCCCUAGGCCUGGGACAUAACACUAUGCUAUGACAUGUCUCAGCAUACUAUUUGG